RNAcentral lists this ribosomal RNA (736 nucleotides) under Pseudomonas putida. Its description in RNAcentral is "bacterial LSU rRNA". It matches the Rfam family "Bacterial large subunit ribosomal RNA", at positions 2025 to 2681 of the family's 2925-position model. The record is from RNAcentral. Lineage: Bacteria; Pseudomonadati; Pseudomonadota; Gammaproteobacteria; Pseudomonadales; Pseudomonadaceae.
CCCGAGACUCAGUGAAAUUGAAAUCGCUGUGAAGAUGCAGUGUAUCCGCGGCUAGACGGAAAGACCCCGUGAACCUUUACUAUAGCUUUGCACUGGACUUUGAAUUUGCUUGUGUAGGAUAGGUGGGAGGCUUUGAAGCGUGGACGCCAGUCUGCGUGGAGCCAUCCUUGAAAUACCACCCUGGCAACUUUGAGGUUCUAACUCAGGUCCGUUAUCCGGAUCGAGGACAGUGUAUGGUGGGUAGUUUGACUGGGGCGGUCUCCUCCUAAAGAGUAACGGAGGAGUACGAAGGGGCGCUCAGACCGGUCGGAAAUCGGUCGUAGAGUAUAAAGGCAAAAGCGCGCUUGACUGCGAGACAGACACGUCGAGCAGGUACGAAAGUAGGUCUUAGUGAUCCGGUGGUUCUGUAUGGAAGGGCCAUCGCUCAACGGAUAAAAGGUACUCCGGGGAUAACAGGCUGAUACCGCCCAAGAGUUCAUAUCGACGGCGGUGUUUGGCACCUCGAUGUCGGCUCAUCACAUCCUGGGGCUGAAGCCGGUCCCAAGGGGAUGGCUGUUCGCCAUUUAAAGUGGUACGCGAGCUGGGUUUAGAACGUCGUGAGACAGUUCGGUCCCUAUCUGCCGUGGAAUGGCUGUUCGCCAUUUAAAGUGGUACGCGAGCUGGGUUUAGAACGUCGUGAGACAGUUCGGUCCCUAUCUGCCGUGGACGUUUGAGAUUUGAGAGGGGCUGCUCCUAG